This 3559-nucleotide long non-coding RNA is filed under the name Marmota monax (woodchuck). Lineage: Eukaryota; Metazoa; Chordata; Mammalia; Rodentia; Sciuridae. The record is from RNAcentral.
GCUGUCUCUGCCCAGCACACUCCACCAUGGCUUCUGCCCCACCGUGCUGGGGUCCCUGGGAGACUCUAGAGGCAUCCCCAGCUGGCCCAGCCCUCUCUGGUCCACCAGAGACACCUGGAGUGGCAGGAUUGGGCUUCAGGCCACUCUGCUAGGCCAUGACUAAUACACCUGUGGUUGGGACUUCUUCUUAACCCAGAGGUGCACCCCACGACCUCCCACAUGCCUCCCCUGCUGUCCAGGAUACAUUGCUCAGCACCUCUGGACAGUCUGUUGGGUUCUGCAUAAGGUAGCUUCAGCCUGGGGCAUGGUGGGGGCAGCAUGGGGAUCAGGACCCUGCAGGGGACCCCCUUCUAUAUGGAAAGGUGGGGACUUCCUUGGGUGGGUCCCAGGAGCCUGCAGCUGUUCCCCUUCACACCAAGGCCCUGCCAGUGGCUGCAGUGGGGCUCCUCCUGUGAGUGCAAAGUACACAGGGAAAGAGACCUAGGUCACCAUGACAUUUUACAACCCUGAAGACAGAGAAGACCCUAGAAGCUUCUGGCAGGACAGGGGCAGGUGGAAUACAAAAAGGGGAUCAGAGAAGAGACCUCACGUGAGGGAGAGGUAAGGCACAGCCCCUGACAGCCAGCUUUGUGCAGGGCAGCGUUGGCCGUGGAUCACAGCACAGGGCACUCUACGGCUGCCAGGCCUGCAGGCUGCCUGCCUCGGCUCACUCUGCAGGAGCGAGAGGGCAGCGUGCCCAGAAAUGGGAUUGGAACCGAGAAGGAAGAAGACACUGGUCCUGGAGCUGCUCAGGGAACGGCCACAGGAAGUGACUACGACAUCCCAGGUGGUGGGCGCUCAAGGGAGAAGGCCCAGAAGUCACACACUGACGCUGUGGCAGUCAGGCCACAUGCAGGCCAGGACACAGGCCAGGUUGUGUGGAGAGACAGAGAUGACCUGACUGCAGGACAGGGUCAACUGCAGGGUCCAGCGUCUAUGUGGCCAGAGCGAGCUGCCUGACCUGGGGCUGUACCACAGCCAGCGAUGGGACCCAGGCUGCCACCAGGUGGGGGCGCAGUGGAGUCCCCUGCUCUGCAGGGGGAGCCCGGAGCAGAUGUCUGAAGAGGAGCGGUGGAGAGAACACCCAUCCGCAGACUGUAGGAAGCGUAGGUCCCCCUCAGACCCACCAGCCUCUUGGGAAGCAGCCCUCAGACCGCAGAACAAAGCAGUCCUCCGGAGGCUCCAGAGGUGCGCUCCUCGGAGUUGAACCAUGAGCUGAAACUCAGGUCUCCAUGAAAGCCAGCAGUGUCCCAGCAGCUGCGGCUGUGAUGGCCAAAGUGCCUUGAGCAGGUGACAAGGGACAGGCCAGGUUGAAUAUUGACAGAAUACCACUCGGCACCAAGAGAAGUGAAUUACAAGGCCCUGAAAAGACAGGGGAGCAUCUUAAGGGCCCAGUGCCCAGUAGAGAAGCCCGUCUGAGAAGGCUGCCCGGCCUCGGUUCCACCUGGACCUCUGCAGAGGCAGGGCCACGAAGAUAGGAAGAGAAGGGCUGGCUGGGGGUCUGAGGAGUGGACGGGCAGUGGAGGCCGGACGGGCAGUGGAGGCCACACGGACAGGCGGGGACGUACUGCACGGGGGUACAUCCGCUUCCCCAUCUCCUGCCACACGGAGAGAGCCCACGUGGACUGACUCUGAUCACAGUGCGUCACCACAGGGUCAUCGGUCACACCAGACAGACACCCGCACGCAAGCUAUAGUAAUAGAGUAAGCACGGGAGCGUCCACUCACCUUUCUAUAAAUCCAAAAUGCUCAAAAAAUAAAACCUAUGAGUCAUGUGCGAGGAAGGAGCAGGAACAGGCCCAGGACCAGGUGCAGUGGUGCACACUGGAACCCCGGCUGGGGGGAGGGCAAAGUUCAAGGCCACCCUGGGCAAUCAAACUAAGAAAUAAAAAUGGCCAGGGGUGCAGCUCAGUGGUAGAGCACCCUGGGUCCAUCCCCAGACUUGGGAGCCUGGGUGGCCCCAUCCCUGUUGGAAGGGACACGGGGGAAAGGAAAUCUGAGGAGCUGGGAUCCACCAGUCCCUGAGCCACAGGAGGGGACAGAGGCAUCAGUAAGAGCCAGGGUGGGUGGGCUCUCCCUCCCUGUCCCACCCUCUCCCCCUCUCCCUUCUCCCCUGAUGAGCUGAUCAAUCGCUCAUCACUGCUUGAAGGAGGGUCCGACUCAAGUGUGGCCUCUUAAUCAGCACGCGGCCGUCCCAGGUUCAUCCACUGCCCUGCCCACCCACAAAUGAGCCCAUUGACCCAUCCUCGCCUCCCCCAGGGAGGCCUGCCUGGGCUCCGAGCGCCGUCUGGUGGCCGCAGGGUGAGCACAACACAGCCCGGAGGACCUGAGAGGACACGGAGGGCCAGAGGACUGAGGAAGGCCGCUCUCCGCCCCCUCAGGCGGCUCCUCCUCCCCAGUCCUCUCCCCCCACACCCUCCUUUGGAAGACACCAGAGUGCACCCCUUCUCCAGCCCCAGCAAAACACAUGCUGCCUGCCCUGCCCUGCCUCAGGGCCUUGGAGCGUGCAGGUCCCUGGGCCAAAACACUCUCUGCCACACCUGUCAGCCCCCCUCGGCUUUGUGGCCAGAUCCACCCCACCCAGCCGCAUCACCCCAGAUGGAUGGUGAGUGAACAAGGGUCGGAUGGGCUGGGAAACCCUGUGAACCAGCGUGGGGUCACCUGGCCAAACCCCGCUGUCCCCUCCUGGGCCUGGCAGGCCUGAGUGCUCAUCUGGGGCAUCCCCCAGGGUGUCUGGGUCCUGGGGUCCGGGUUCCUGGAGCAGGGCUGUGGGGUGUGCUGAAGGCAGUAAGACUUCCUCUGACAGGGAGCGCAGGCUGGGCCUGGGGAGUCCCUGGCUCUGUGGAAGCUCGACCUUCAGUCCCCAGGGUGGCUGCUCUCCCGUCCUUGUCCCCUUCCCGGGGCCCAGCCUGCUCUGGCAGUGCAGGUGUCCCAGACCUGUGUCCAUGCCAUCACAGCUCCUCCCUGCCCAGCUGCCACAGUCAGGUGGCAAGGGAGAGGGAAGCUGGCUCCCUGUGCUCCUUGUCCUAGGUGCCCCAGUGACCUGCAGUUCCAUGGGAACACUAGCCUUCUGUAGCCAGGCUGAUUUGGGGGACUUGGGGUGACUGCCUCCCCCAGCAGACUGGCAGCUGGACUGGCCUCAGCAAGUACCAGUGAGGGUGUGGACAGUGUCCCUGGCCCCAUCUUCUGGGUCCUCUGGCCUCCCCUGCCUGGGUCAGACCCUGGCCUGUGGCAGUCGUCAGGAGCCGUGAGUGUGGGUGUGGCUUCCUGGGGUGUCCCAGCUGUGGUGGGUGCAGCGCUGACCCUGCUUCCUGCUCCCCUUCCUGCCUCCCCCGCCCACAGCAGAGACUGGCAGGCCCAAGGUCAGCGGUCUGUGUAUCGACAGUGUCUGGCCACCCUGGGCUGGCGGGAGGGAGGAGACUGCGGCUCGAUAAGGCCCAUCUUGUGAGAAAAUAAAUUUGGCCAUUGACCCAGCAAGCAGACGUCAAUAAAUGAAUGGUUAAUACAAACAUUGUCCUUC